CCUACGGGAGGCAGCAGUAGGGAAUUUUGCUCAAUGGUGGAAACACUGACGCAGCAACGCCGCGUGAUCGAGGAAGCUCUUCGGGGUGGAAAGAUCCGUCAGUGGGGACGAAACCUGUGGGUACCCACAGAGGAAGCACCGGCUAACUCCGUACCAGCAGCCGCGGUAAUACGGGGGGUGCAAGCGUUGUCCGGAAUCAUUGGGCGUAAAGGGUUCGUAGGUGGCACGUUAAGUCUGGUGUUAAAGGCGGAAGCCCAACUCCCGUAGGGCAGUGGAAACUGGCGAGCUUGAAUGCGGGAGAGGUAAAGGGAAUUCGUGGUGUAGCGGUGAAAUGCGUAGAUAUCAGGAGGAACAUCGGUGGCGUAGGCGCUUUACUGGGUCGUCAUUGACACUGAGGAACGAAAGCCGGGGUAGCAAAUGGGAUUAGAUACCCUGGUAGUC
Molecule: ribosomal RNA, 441 nt
Filed under: uncultured bacterium
Lineage: Bacteria
Description: partial 16S ribosomal RNA
Rfam family: Bacterial small subunit ribosomal RNA
Source: RNAcentral